This 253-nucleotide ribosomal RNA is filed under the name uncultured bacterium. Its description in RNAcentral is "partial 16S ribosomal RNA". It matches the Rfam family "Bacterial small subunit ribosomal RNA", at positions 524 to 776 of the family's 1533-position model. The record is from RNAcentral.
UACAGAGGUCUCAAGCGUUGUUCGGAUUCAUUGGGCGUAAAGGGUGCGUAGGCGGCGCGGUAAGUCGGGUGUGAAAUCUUGGAGCUUAACUCCGAAACUGCAUUCGAUACUGCCGUGCUUGAGGACUGGAGAGGAGACUGGAAUUUACGGUGUAGCGGUGAAAUGCGUAGAUAUCGUAAGGAAGACCAGUGGCGAAGGCGGGUCUCUGGACAGUUCCUGACGAUGAGGCACGAAGGUCAGGGGAGCAAACGGG